This 465-nucleotide ribosomal RNA is filed under the name Vreelandella stevensii. RNAcentral describes it as "partial 16S ribosomal RNA". It matches the Rfam family "Bacterial small subunit ribosomal RNA", at positions 338 to 795 of the family's 1533-position model. The record is from RNAcentral. Lineage: Bacteria; Pseudomonadati; Pseudomonadota; Gammaproteobacteria; Oceanospirillales; Halomonadaceae.
CCUACGGGCGGCAGCAGUGGGGAAUAUUGGACAAUGGGGGGAACCCUGAUCCAGCCAUGCCGCGUGUGUGAAGAAGGCCCUCGGGUUGUAAAGCACUUUCAGUGAGGAAGAACGCCUGGUGGUUAAUACCCAUCAGGAAAGACAUCACUCACAGAAGAAGCACCGGCUAACUCCGUGCCAGCAGCCGCGGUAAUACGGAGGGUGCGAGCGUUAGUCGGAAUUACUGGGCGUAAAGCGCGCGUAGGUGGCUUGAUAAGCCGGUUGUGAAAGCCCCGGGCUCAACCUGGGAACGGCAUCCGGAACUGUCAAGCUAGAGUGCAGGAGAGGAAGGUAGAAUUCCCGGUGUAGCGGUGAAAUGCGUAGAGAUCGGGAGGAAUACCAGUGGCGAAGGCGGCCUUCUGGACUGACACUGACACUGAGGUGCGAAAGCGUGGGUAGCAAACAGGAUUAGAUACCCCUGUAGUC